Peromyscus maniculatus bairdii (prairie deer mouse) is the source of this 906-nucleotide non-coding RNA. The record is from RefSeq and is a predicted model, not a curated record. NCBI's taxonomy places the organism in Eukaryota, Metazoa, Chordata, Mammalia, Rodentia, Cricetidae.
UUUCCAAACCAGGGUUGCGUAGCAUUCAGCUAAGACUGAGUACGCAAAAGCACGCCUGAGCAGAAACACUCGGCUCUUUCAAGUCCAGAGCCCCUCAGAAGAAACAGACCAGACUACUGUUCUCCAUCUCUUAGGGGAUUUGAAAAAACUCAAAGACUGGCCUUUGAGGACGUCAAGAUGUUCAAGAUCUCACGAAAAACAUGAUCUCUGAAGCCCCCAAGAAAGGCCUUCCCUGGCAUCAAGUAGAACAUCCAAGCAUAUGCCUCGGCCAACGAUGGACUGCAGAAGCCCCCUAAGGAGCUACGCUGGCGACAUCAGUAUUAUAUUAUAAUACGGGACCACCCUACAUGAAGUCAGUCCUCGGCCAAGGGACGUCAUGGAGUGCUUGACUGUACCUCGUGGGAAAAGUCAUUAGGAAACUGUGACAGCACAUUAAAAUGCCAUAGGUCUGAGGAGAUGGCUCAGUGGGCAAAGCGUUUACCAUGCAAACACGACGACCUCAGUUCAGCUCCCUAGUGCCCAAGUGAAGAGCCAAGUGUUGACGCUGGAGUGAUAUCUCAGUGGUUAAGAGUGAGUACUGCUCUGGUAGGGAACCUAGUACAGUUCCCAGCACCUGCCUCGGGGCGCUUACAGCCGCCUGUAAACCCAGCCCCAGAGACAGGUGCACAUACCCACAGGGACACAGACACUCGGGUAUAAUAAAAAAAUAAAAUAAAAUAAAAAAGCCAGCUGCUGCCAGACCUAUGAUAUCAAUCAAGAGGCAGAUAGAAGGACCCCUGGGGCUUGCUGACCAGAGAGUCUUGCCAAAUUGGUAAGCCUCAUGUUCCACGAGAGACUCUGUCUCAAAAAAUAAAGUGAGAAGCCGGGCAGUGGUGGCGCACGCCUUUAAUCCCAGCCAGCACUCGG